GGAAGGCUGCAGGAUCUGUGUGUGAGAGACACGCUUUCUGAUGCAACUGCAGCCGCGACUCCUCUGUGCACUGCAGUCAGUGUGCUGGGAGUGGGACAGGGCUGGGAGGCGGAACACGUCUACUGAUGGGCCUGGAGUGGAGGCGGAGCAUUUUGUCCCUCCUGGAAUGGAACAUGUUGGAAGGUAUGCACAAGGCCUCCCUGCCUUGAGUGCCCCGGGCACCCCCAAGGAUUAAUCCAGCCCUGCAGCCGCGUUCUCCUGCUUGCGCCUGCGGAGAGCUGCAAUACCAUUGUCAUCCUCACUGCCGACGGCUGAGUCUGGGCUCUAUUGGAGGCUAUACCUGUGAUCUCCUCAGACCAAUUCUCUAUAUACACCUUUGGCGCGCCAUCAUCAUCUGGUGCACACCAUCUACCACUGCUGCUUUGCCGAAUUGGGAGUAUAUGCCAAAAGAACCCCAGCAGCAGUGAGCAUAUAAUACAAGUAAUCUGUGAUGGGAUUCUGGCUACAUUACUAAUGGUCCCAUUGUAUGGAACUUUAUAUCUAAUUACCGGGUACGCUUAUAUUAUAUGAGACUGUGUUCAAAUCUCCACAGGAGGGAUCAAGCUAAAUUAAUCGAUUUUAAUGCAAUCUAUGUGUUUUUAUAUUAUAUAUGCAGAUUAAAAUAUUGCUAAUUUUACAA
This is a long non-coding RNA of Pseudophryne corroboree (corroboree frog), 679 nucleotides long. RefSeq lists it as uncharacterized. The transcript is spliced from 2 exons. NCBI's taxonomy places the organism in Eukaryota, Metazoa, Chordata, Amphibia, Anura, Myobatrachidae. The record is from RefSeq and is a predicted model, not a curated record.